CCUACGGGAGGCAGCAGUGGGGAAUCUUGCACAAUGGGGGAAACCCUGAUGCCGCGACGCCGCGUGGGUGAAGCAGUAAUUCGUUAUGUAAAGCUCUAUCAGCAGGGCAGAAAAUGACGGUACCUGAGUAAGAAGCCCCGGCUAACUACGUGCCAGCAGCCGCGGUCAUACGUAGGGGGCAAGCGUUAUCGGGAUUUACUGGGUGUAAAGGGAGCGUAGACGGGAGUGGAAGUCUGGAGUGAAAGGCGGGGGCUCAACCCCCGGACUGCUCUGGAAACUGUACGGCUGGAGUGCAGGAGAGGUAAGUGGAAUUCCGGGUGUAGCGGUGAAAUGCGUAGAUAUUAGGAGGAACACCAGUGGCGAAGGCGGCUUACUGGACUGUAACUGACGUUGAGGCUCGAAAGCGUGGGGAGCGAACAGGAUUAGAUACCCUGGUAGUC
Molecule: ribosomal RNA, 440 nt
Filed under: uncultured bacterium
Lineage: Bacteria
Description: partial 16S ribosomal RNA
Rfam family: Bacterial small subunit ribosomal RNA
Source: RNAcentral